CCACUGCUAUCGGAGUUCGAUUAAACCAUGCGAGUCGAGAGGUGCAAGACCUCGGCAUACUGCUCGUAACACGUGGACAAUCUGACCUAUGGAAGGGGAUAACCCCGGGAACUAGGGAGUAAUACCUUAUAAACUAAUGGAUGCUGAAGCGCUGUAGUUGAAAGGUGAGCCGCCAUAGGAUGGGUCGCGGCCGAUUAGGUAGUUGUGGGGUAACGGCCCGCAAGCCUGUAAUCGGUACGGGUUGUGGAGCAAGAGCCGGAGAGGAUUCUGAGCACGAACCCAGGCCCUACGGGCGCAGCAGGCGCGAUG
Molecule: ribosomal RNA, 309 nt
Filed under: uncultured archaeon
Lineage: Archaea
Description: bacterial SSU rRNA
Rfam family: Archaeal small subunit ribosomal RNA
Source: RNAcentral